GUGAAUCAUCGAAUUUUUGAACGCAAAUUGCACUCUCCUCGGAGAGUAGGCCUGUUUGAGGGGCAGCCUAUAAAAAAUCGACAUCGUUGCUGUUUCGCGGUGGCGUUCGGCGGAAAUUGGGUCAUCGUAAAGCCGUUUGAUUUAAGCGACUUAAAAUAUUCUUUUGGUUCCAUGAACGUUUCUAAGAUCUAUGUCUUUACACGUUGAAGGUAUCGAUUUUUACGAGACGUGACCAUCAUAUCGGAUCGCUGCCAGAAUCUUUCAUUAAA
Molecule: unclassified non-coding RNA, 269 nt
Filed under: Glomus sp.
Lineage: Eukaryota; Fungi; Glomeromycota; Glomeromycetes; Glomerales; Glomeraceae
Description: partial contains 5.8S ribosomal RNA and internal transcribed spacer 2
Rfam family: 5.8S ribosomal RNA (bases 1-65)
Source: RNAcentral